Molecule: long non-coding RNA, 698 nt
Filed under: Carica papaya (papaya)
Lineage: Eukaryota; Viridiplantae; Streptophyta; Magnoliopsida; Brassicales; Caricaceae
Description: long non-coding RNA (CPAP_LNC014057)
Source: RNAcentral
GCGGCGGGUGGCGGCGGUCGGCCUCUGGUUCGUCUUCUCCGGCGAGCGGCGGGCGGCUAGGGUUUGUGGUCUGGUGUGGGGGUUCUAUUUAUAACCCCUUGCCUUUUGAUCACAGCCGUUCAUUUCGUUUUAAUAUGGGCCGUUCGUUUUUGAUUGAAUCUGGGCCGUCCGUGCGAUUGAAUCUGGGCCGUCCGAUCGCGCGAUUGAUCUGGGCCGUCGGAUCGCCAACGUGGCUCCUUUCGGAGUGACGCGGUCUUGCCACGUGGCAGGCCCCGGUUGGCCGGGACUGUUGACCGGGCCUGCUGACGUGGCCCCCCCCCCCGUUUUUUUUUUUUUUUUUUUUUUUUUCCUCCUUUCCGGGUGCUACAACUCUCCCCCCCAUAAAGAAAUUUGGUCCCCAAAUUUGCCUCAUUACUCUUGAUCAAACAGAUGAGGAUAUUGGGCCCUAAAUUCUGAUUCCAGCUCCCAAAUCGCCUCCCUAGGCGUGUGGUUCUGCCACAAGACUUUUACAAAUGAUAUUUCCCGGUUACGGAGUAUUCUGCUUUCUCGGUCCGUGAUACUGACCGGUACUUCUUCAUAAGACAAGUCCUCUCGGAGUGAAAGCGGUUCAUGAGCCACGACAUGAGAAGGGUCUGGAUUGUACUUGCGCAGCAUAGAUACAUGAAACACAUUGUGAACCUGGGAGAGCUCAGGGGGCA